This 9402-nucleotide long non-coding RNA is filed under the name Solanum lycopersicum (tomato). RNAcentral's name for it is "long non-coding RNA (SLYC_LNC001147)". The record is from RNAcentral. Lineage: Eukaryota; Viridiplantae; Streptophyta; Magnoliopsida; Solanales; Solanaceae.
CAUCUAUCUCAAAUUUUUUUACAAGAAAAUCAACAAAGCCUUUUUUUUGUAUUGAAAGAUAUAUGUAUUUUUUCUUGUAAAGAUGAGUCAUAACUUAACUAAGAGAAAAAUAAUUAAUUAAAUUGGACAAUUUGAACUUAAACUUCAUGUAAGAAUUAAAUGAAAGAAACUGAAUGAGGGAAAUGAAAGUCUCAAACAUCUUUACAUAUUUCACCAGUAGCUAAAUACUUUUAGUAGAUGUGUCACGACCCAAAAAUGGACGUGAUGGCACUCGUCUUAUCCCACCAAGACAAGUCAGCCUAAAACUCAACCAUUACCAUAAAGUGCGGAAAUAAAAUAUAAGUAACUUAAUAAGACCCCCCAAAACCUGGUAGUCACGUGUACAAGCCUCUAAAGUAUUACAAUUGAUUCAAAAGAAAAACUCAAGUCUCAAAUGAACUUGUUUCUAGAAUAGAACAAGAUCAUAAUUAAGGAGAAGAAAGUCUGCUGCGAUGGAAAUAGCUACCUGACAAAUCUCCAAGAAGCCUUGGAAAAGAAGAGAAUGACAAGUACAACAAAAAUCCAGGCUCAUAACCUACAAAAAUUUGUAGAAGCAAGGGGUGAGUACCAAACCACACGGUACUCAGCAAGUAAACCUCUAAACACAGGAUAAGGGGAUGAAAUAUGGGUACUCCUACCACCCCCAACUGAACCUCCACAACUACAAUCUGCAUUAAAAUCAACCCAACCUAACAGCUCACAGUCUACAUAGCACGUAUCUCAACAACAACACUUAGACAAAUUACAUAUCCUCAACAACAACACUUCAACAAAUUACAUAUCCGCUAUAACAAGCUCAAUAUUGAUCAAUCACAAGUUCAACAGAAAGGCAAUCAGAAGAUCAGCAAAACACGAUAUCAAAUUCACUAAUGAUAAGUAUGUGCAAUGCAAUGGAAUGCAAUGUCAAGUAUAAUGAUGCAUGUCUGACCUAGUGAUACACACCCGCUGUCUCUUAGUCCUGGACCCAUGGGGGACAUAUCUAUCCAUGCAUCUGUCGCGGCGCAUGACACAAUCCUCGAUAAUAGUAACCAUCGCGGCGCGCGAUACGUCCCUCGAAAUAUAGUAUCCAUCGCAGCGUGCGAUACGUCCCUCGAAAUAUAGUAUCCAUCGCGGCGCGCGAUACGUCCCUCGAAACUGUACAUCUUCUUAAGUAGUCAUUCUUUCUCAAUGCACAUAACACUUGUCACAACCAAUGCCUCAUAAUAAUGCAGAUGACAAGUUCACACAAAUAAUGAGAAGAUGACCAUUUUCAUAACAUUGCACAAUUCAAAACCACACAAACAUGAAAUCACAUUAACAAUGAUUCAACAAUCCUUCAUCCCUUUCUGAACACAUCACACUUAAAUAAUUAAUUACAUUGCCCUUUUUUUUAUCCCUUUUUUUUCAUCAUUAGAUUAACCAAUGUGGACAAGUGAACCCAUCACCAAUCUCGUUACUCCCAAACAUAUACCACAAGAAAAUACACGCAUUUCAUACACUUAACAAGAGUUUAGAAAUCCAUUUGCCUCAACCAAUCGAGAAUUCACUCCAAGAUUUGGGUUUUCCCCUUUUGCUGAACUUUCAACUCAAUGAAUCUAUUGACAUCAAUAAUCACGAUAAGAUUUUGAAGCUUACAACACCCAAAUUAAUAUUUAAGUUUUCAAAUAUCGAUGUUAUUUAGUAUGUUAAUUCUUAUAUUUUUCCAAAUUUUAAGCGUAGGUUUAAGUCUCAAUUCCUCCAGUUUGAUGAAUUUAAUUAUAUUCAUAUAAUAUAAUGCACAUACUACUUAACAACAUAUCCCAUCAUCUCAAAACUUGUACCAUAACAAAGUUAUAAUUAAUAAAAAUAAAUUAUAGAGCACUCGGACCUAAUUACAAAAUCGGCAUUUACUUACGUAAAUAUAACAAUCUGCAUAUUCAUAUAACCUAUAAUUUUCCCCACCCUUAUCCUCUAAUCAUUGGCAUAUAAUUAGUCUCAACCCAUUAUAAUAAUAUUACAAAUAUCUAAUGUUAUAUAAUAAUAAUAAUAAUAAUAAUAAUAAUAAUAAUAAUAAUAAUAAUAAGAAUAAGAAUAGUACCAACACUAAUUUUUUCCAAAAUAGUUAUAACAAUAUAAUAAAAGAAAGGCCCAAAUUAUUAUCAAGUUACAUACAGUAACUUAAAUGGAGAAAAUCAAACACCUGAACCCCUUUUCAUACGUAUAAACCUCUUGAGCAUUGUUUUUUUUUUAUUUCAAUACCUCGAAUAAAAAGAAUUUGGUCAUCAAUUAAUGACGACUUUUAGAUCUUAUCCCCACCAAAACUUCCAAAACAAACUGCUAGACUCCUUCCGAUUUCCUUAUUUAACAAGCAUAUUAUAAAACAUAAUAUUAGAUUAGCUACUUAUCGAUUCAAAUAAACAUAGAAAUAAAUUCUUAUCGAAGAGCAUUCACUGCUCACUCCAUUUUUUUUAUUUAUUUUACUCACAUAACUCAAUCAACUGGAUAACAAUAAUAUGAUCUGGACUAGUAUAAAGAUUUAAGAGUGAUUACUAAUUACCUGAAGAAAAAUUCAUUUUUUUCCAACCACUGGAAGAAGAAGUUAUUCUCACCCAACCCUUUUCUAAUUUUUUUUUCCUCGGCGGCUGCGUGAACUGCUUCUCUCCACUACAGCCAUCAACAUUGCCCUUAUAUUGUUUUUUUUAUUAUUUAUUUAUUUUUCUUUUCUAUUAUUAUUAGCAACAAAAUAAUCUUUGGUUAAAUAUGAAAAUAAUUUCACCCAUUCUUAUAAGUCAUAAUUUAUUUAUAAAAAUUAUUAAAAAUUAUUAAUAUAAGAGUAACGAACAUAAGGAAGAAGAAGGAAGAAUGAACGACGUUACCAAAAUCCUGAGGUAUGAUCUUCUAGAGUCGGUGUUUGUCUCUCUAAGUGGGCUCUUCUUUAAGACCAUUCCAUUCAAGAAUAACUACUAAGAACUGAUCCUUCCAAUUAAACUUGAAAAAUUUACAAAUCACGAGUGAUUAUCAACCUAUAGACUAAUCUAUGAACCAAAUUUAAAAUGAAACCCUCUGGACCAUAACUUAAACAUCGUGACGAUUCUUUUCUCACAUAACCAAGAGAACAUUCUGAAUCAGUAGUGACUACAACAAGAAGUUAGUAUCAUCACAAUAUUUUUUUUUGAUCGCUUUUCUUAGAACAAUAUUUCCACAAGCUUAAGUUAUAUAUAAAAAAAAAAUCUUUAGACAUCGAGUACUCAUUAAGGGGAUAAUCAAACUUAUCUAAUCCAGGGAAGAACAAGAAUAAAGUAAGCACCCAAAGACCGAUAUAUUCUUGGAUGCAGAACUUUUAACAACACUGUUGUAUAACUGUAGCUAUUCACAAGAACUCUUCUAUAAGUUAUCAUAGGCAAGGUCAUGCAUAUAUAAACAACAAUAAACUUUUACUUUCCCAAACAACAUUGAAAUAUGCCAUAACUGAAGUGACCAAGUCUUCACAAAGAUGCCAGUCUACCAUGAAGACAAUCACAUGAUCGGUACACCCGAUCCACCACUAGAAAUUCAUCCAUAGAUAUGAAAACACGUCUAGGUAUAGGUAGCGAAUCACACUCCAAACUAUAUCCAAAACGUAGUUGAUGGUCAUAUAAGAAUACACAGAACCAAAGUCGAAUAACACUAGAUACUUCUUUCAUAGUGUCCAUGUUAAACAUUUACAUUCAUAUGACUCUAUCUCUUUAAUUUUUGUAGCUACCCACAAUCAACUAGUCUGGUGCUUAUUAUAAUCGUAUACAUACUUGAUUUAUAAAACCUCACAUAUUCUUAUAGUACUCUACUGAAGUUAAUUUUUUUUAUACUAACAAAUAUCAAAAUCACACCGGUCAUUUGCCUUACUCUCAAACCAUCACUAGUAUCAAAGUCUUCCUAGCAAGCACAUUGUAGCCUCCAAAUUUUUUGAAUUAUGACCCCCUUUCUUUCUAUUUAAGCAUGCGUUGAUAGAUAUGGGUACACACCCAAGGUUGAUAACACUAAUUUCAAAUCUGAUAUUAUUUCCUCCUCGACAUAAAACUAUUGAAUUACGUUCAAUGUAAUCUCCAUACAAUCUUUCACAUGCAAAGGUUUAACUAUCAUUCAAACCAUCAUAUAUCUCGUGCCAAAACUUAGAGAAACUCUCAAUCAAUCCAAUAAUUCGGUAUAAUAUAAGCUCAUAACCUCCAUUCACCAUCAAAUACAUAUAUAACACAUCAUAACAAUCUAAAUUGUCCCACAACAAAGUAGUUUCAAUCCCUUCAAAUCCUCAUUAAUCAUGUAAAAUUGUAGGUUUACACCGUUUAACAUCAAUAAGUUACCUAUUAUGAUUUGAACAAUCUAACUUUACAUAACCAAGUAGAAUCCUUCACACGCAGUUGCUUGUCACCUGAUCAAACUCAAUCCUUAUUUAAGUCGUUGAUAACCCCUAGUAAGUCUGUACCGAAUCAGUUCAUAUCUCAUAGUAAUAUCUUAAUUAAAAUGUUAAAAUCCAUAUAACCUUAAAUUAUGAACCAAGGAUCUUACGAAGGGUCUUACUCUUUUACCUUUCUUAAAUUCUUCUCAUAAUGCAAUUAUUAAAUAUUUUAAAUCGUUAAUAUAUCAAACUUUUUUUUUGUCUCGCUUACUUGCUUACCUGUCUUAUCCUUUGACCAACUCAUUAUCUUUUUACAUUACCCUCUAACCAAAACAUUGCAUGAAACCUCCCUCAAGUAUAACAAUCAAAAGUAAUCAAAUUUACUACUCAAAUUAUUUUUAAGUCCUUCCAAAUGCUUCAUACUCAAUGUUAUCGAUUAUUUCUUACUUUACCAAUUCAUACUUUGACAAAACACACUAGCACAAAUCUAAAUUCACAAUUAAAAGCUUGAAUUUAUUCCAAACAUGUAACACAACCCCUUUAUCUAUCAACAUUAACUCAUAUCUUGAAGAUUUUUAUGAAUUCAUGUAUCUUAGCUUACAUUGAUCGCCUCUCCAUCAAUCAUAUCAUAUCCUUUGCCAAAACUUCAACUGUACUCAUUACCAACUUAUAAACAUAAAAAAAAUACAUAUAAUCACACUCAAGUUGAACAUCUAUAGACACUCCUUUCUCAAGUUACCCAAUAGUUAUUUUUUUAUUUAAAUCAAUCAGUUGAUCUGGUGACACUAUAUAUAAUCAUAAUCAGGGCAAAAAAUGAAAUCACAUAUCUUUGAAUUUAAUUAUCCACUCUUUCUGACAACUUUGACCCUUACAAUCUGAGUAAUAUCCUUAUUCUCACCUCCUUCUAAAGGUUAAACUACAUCCCACUAAUUCAUUCCAUUCUGGCUCUAGCUCCUUUCAAUUCUAUUCGAGUGACAUCAUAAUUCCUCAUAAAAAUUACCAUACAACCAUGCUAGUCACAAACAAUAGUAAACCAUAACUCAGACAUUCGAAAGUCACCCUUAUCAUACAAAAGUCUUUUAACCAACAAAACUUAUCAUAUAGUUGCAACCUAAUCAUCAUCCAUCACAAACUCUAGUUAUCACUAUGUAUAGUCAUCCCUUAUCACUACAACAAAGUCAACCUUGUCAUGACAUGACAUCUCAAAAUCAACUAUACCAAUCGAAUUAAACAGACUAACUUAACUUUAUACAUAUUUUCUUACAAAAAUUUUCAAUUGUUGGGAUUUGCUUUACAUAUAAGAUAGUCAUUCCAAUAUUAAUUCACUCAAUUGGGGCUUAUGAUAAAAUAACCGCUGCUCAUUUAGAAUCCUAAGGAUACACAUCAUAACCUACUCACACAUUAAUAUUAUACCAAAGAUCCACCACUAAAAGCUUUCUUAUAAAUAAUGCUUAACUCAUUCGUUCAUAGUAACAAGCUAGUUGGUUUUCAAAUAUGAAUGUAACAUAAAAUCUUAUAAUAUGAGUAUAUGAUAAAAUCGAUAGUUCUUAAGUAGUUAUUAUUCACACUUAACAUCGAAUUAUCAAUUUUUAUAUAACACUAGUACCACAUCAUGAAAUUUCAUUAGAUCCAUCACUAAAACACAUCAUACCCCCUGAGAAGAUUGUACUCAAAUCUCACAUAUUUCUAUAAGUUGAGUGGUUGUAGUACAUUACCAAAUCCAUUUGAUCUCUAAUCCAAUCGUUAUGCACUAUUUCAUAGAUUAGUUCGAUAAUAGAAGUAACACUCUCCAUAACGCUAACCAAGUAAACAUCUAUACUAAGUAGUCAUACCAUCAUUUUUUUUAAAUACACAAAACCUAUAAAAUCGUAAUACUUCUAACCUCCAUUGGUCCAUCAGUAUUCCUAUCAUCUUCUAAGCAACCCAUUCACAUUAUGAUAACUUUACAAAUUGUAGUUUCCAAAGUUGCAUGUCCUCUAUCCAGUCACCUUUUUAAUGACUUCACUUUUACUCGUUAAAUCACUGUAGCUAUCUUAUAUAUCGCAAAAGUACUAUUCAUUUUACUAAGGUAACUAAUCUUACACAACCCUUUCAAAUUGUUGAAUAUUUUAAAUCUAACCACACAUGUUUUUCAUAAUACCAUAACUUUCAUAUUAGUAAUAGGUCUAACAUUCAAGAAAAUACAACAUGCCAAAAAUUCACUUGAGGAACUAUGCACGACUCAUCAUGUAAAUGAGAGAGAACAGAAUGAAGCGAUAAAAAUCGAAUCGGACCAAGUACGCACAAUACAGAUCCAAGAAAUGAAGAUAUUUCCUAAAAGUCACUACAGCCUCUCGAAGAUAGGUACAGACGUCUCCGUACCGAUCAUCGAGACUCUAUUUAGACUCGACUUGUAAACACAUGAGACCUACGAACCUGGAGAUCUGAUACCAUUUUGUCACGACCCAAAAAUGGACGUGAUGGCACUCGUCUUAUCCCACCAAGACAAGUCAGCCUAAAACUCAACCAUUACAAUAAAGUGCGGAAAUAAAAUAUAAGUAACUUAAUAAGACCCCCCAAAACCUGGUAGUCACGUGUACAAGCCUCUAAAGUAUUACAAUUGAUUCAAAAGAAAAACUCAAGUCUCAAAUGAACUUGUUUCUAGAAUAGAACAAGAUCAUAAUUAAGGAGAAGAAAGUCUGCUGCGAUGGAAAUAGCUACCUGACAAAUCUCCAAGAAGCCUUGGAAAAGAAGAGAAUGACAAGUACAACAAAAAUCCAGGCUCAUAACCUACAAAAAUUUGUAGAAGCAAGGGGUGAGUACCAAACCACACGGUACUCAGCAAGUAAACCUCUAAACACAGGAUAAGGGGAUGAAAUACGGGUACUCCUACCACCCCCAACUGAACCUCCACAACUACAACCUGCAUUAAAAUCAACCCAACCUAACAGCUCACAGUCUACAUAGCACGUAUCUCAACAACAACACUUAGACAAAUUACAUAUCCUCAACAACAACACUUCAACAAAUUACAUAUCCGCUAUAACAAGCUCAAUAUUAAUCAAUCACAAGUUCAACAGAAAGGCAAUCAGAAGAUCAGCAAAACACGAUAUCAAAUUCACUAAUGAUAAGUAUGUGCAAUGCAAUGGAAUGCAAUGUCAAGUAUAAGGAUGCAUGUCUGACCUAGUGAUGCACACCCGCUGUCUGUCAGUUCGGGACCCAAGGGGGACAUAUCUGUCCAUGCAUCUGUCGCGGCGCACGACACGACCCUCGAUAAUAGUAACCAUCGCAGCGCGCGAUACGUCCCUCGAAAUAUAGUAUCCAUCGCGGCGUGCGAUACGUCCCUCGAAAUAUAGUAUCCAUCGCGGCGCGCGAUACGUCCCUCGAAAAUGUACAUCUUCUUAAGUACUCAUUCUUUCUCAAUGCACAUAACACUUGUCACAACCAAUGCCUCAUAAUAAUGCAGAUGACAAGUUCACAAAAAUAAUGAGGAGAUGACCAUUUUCAUAACAUUGCACAAUUCAAAACCACACAAACAUGAAAUCACAUUAACAAUGAUUCAACAAUCCUUCAUCCCUUUCUGAACACAUCACACUUAAAUAAUUAAUUACAUUGCCCUUUUUUUAUCCCUUUUUUUUCAUCAUUAGAUUAACCAAUGUGGACAAGUGAACCCAUCACCAAUCUCGUUACUCCCAAAUAUAUACCACAAGAAAAUACACGCAUUUCAUACACUUAACAAGAGUUUAGAAAUCCACUUGCCUUAACCAAUCGAGAAUUCACUCCGAGACUUGGGUUUUCCCCUUUUGCUGAACUUCCAACUCAAGCAAUCUAUUGACAUCAAUAAUCACGAUAAGAUUGUGAAGCUUACAACACCAAAAUUAAUAUUUAAGUUUUCAAAUAUCGAUGUUAUUUAGUAUGUUAAUUCUUAUAUUUUUCCAAAUUUUAAGUCUAGGGGUAAGUCUCAAUUCCUCCAGUUUGAUGAAUUUAAUUAUAUUCAUAUAAUAUAAUGCACAUACAACCUAACAACAUAUCCCAUCAUCUCAAAAUUUGAACCAUAACAAAGUUAUAAUUAAUAAAAAUAAAUUAUAGAGCACUCGGACCUAAUUACGAAAAUCGGCAUUUACUUAUGUAAAUAUAACAAUCUGCAUAUUCAUAUAACCUAUAAUUUUCCCCACCCUUAUCCUCUAAUCAUUGGCAUAUAAUUAGUCUCAACCAAUUAUAAUAAUAUUACAAAUAUCUAAUGUUAUAUAAUAAUAAUAAUAAUAAUAAUAAUAAUAAUAAUAAUAAUAACAAUAAUAAGAAUAAGAAUAAGAAUAGUACCAACACUAAAUUUUUCCAAAAUAGUUGUAACAAUAUAAUAAAAGAAAUGCCCAAAUUAUUAUCAAGUUACAUACAGUAACUUAAAUGGAGAAAAUCAAACACCUGAACCCCUUUCCAUACGUAUAAACCUCUUGAGCAUUGUUUUUUUUUUAUUUUAAUACCUCGAAUGAAAAAGAAUUUGGUCAUCAAUUAAUGACGACUUUUAGAUCUUAUCCCCACCAAAACUUCCAAAACAAAUUGCUAGACUCCUUCCGAUUUCCUUAUUUAACAAGCAUAUUAUAAAACAUAAUAUUAGAUUAGCUACUUAUCGAUUCAAAUAAACAUAGAAACAAAUUCUUAUCGAAGAGCAUUUACUGCUCACUCCCUUUUUUUUAUUUAUUUUACUCACAUAACUCAAUCAACUGGAUAACAAUAAUAUGAUUUGGACUAGUAUAAAGAUUUAAGAGUAAUUACUAAUUACCUGAAGAAAAAUUCAUUUUUUUCCAACCACCGGAAGAAGACGUUAUUCUCGCCCAACCCUUUUCUAGUUUUUUUUCCUCGGCGGCUGCGUGAAUUGAUUCUCUCCACUACAACCAUCAACAUUGCCCUUAUAUUGUUUUUUUUAUUAUUUAUUUAUUUUUCUUUUCUAUUAUUAUUAGCAACAAAAUAAUCUUUGGUUAAAUAUGAAAAUAAUUUCACCCAUUCUUAUAAGUCAUAAUUUAUUUAUAAAAAUUAUUAAAAAUUAUUAAUAUAAG